CAGUAGCCGCGGGAAUACGGAGGAUCCAAGCGUUAUCCGGAUCUAUUGGGUUUAAAGGGUGCGUAGGCGGCCUAUUAAGUCAGGGGUGAAAGACGGUAGCUCAACUAUCGCAGUGCCUUUGAUACUGAUAGGCUUGAAUGUACUUGAAGUGGGCAGAAUGUGACAAGUAGCGGUGAAAUGCAUAGAUAUGUCACAGAACACCGAUUGCGAAGGCAGCUCACUAAAGUAUGAUUGACGCUGAGGCACGAAAGCGUGGGGAUCAAACAGGAUUAGAUACCCCAGUAGUCCCUGUCUCUUAUAC
RNAcentral lists this ribosomal RNA (301 nucleotides) under uncultured bacterium. RNAcentral's name for it is "partial 16S ribosomal RNA". It matches the Rfam family "Bacterial small subunit ribosomal RNA", at positions 509 to 807 of the family's 1533-position model. The record is from RNAcentral.